GCAGAAGCUGAAUAACACAAGAGAAUCAGUUAUCCCAAAGCUGUUUGCAGAAGCUGAAUAGCACAAGAGAAUCAAUGAUGCUAAAGAGAAAUGAUAAAAUAGAUAGUGUUGUUGGCCUAAUAUGGAAUGGUAUCUUGUACUUUGUUUGCAGAAGCUGAAUAGCACAAGAGAAUCAAUGAUGCUAAAGAGAAAUGAUAAAAUAGAUAGUGUUGUUGGCCUAAUAUGGAAUGGUAUCUUGUACUUGUGUUUGGGAAAGUGCUGUCAAAAACACAAUGUAACGGUAUCAUGGUCUAGUGCAUACUUGUGUUUGUGUUGUCUCUGCUGCUCCAAUGUUGAUGCAGUUGUUGUCGGUUUUUAACCUUAUUGCUCAACCUGCUGUUGUUGUUUCUGCUAUGAGUGGUGCGUUUGCAGCUGCUGUUUUGUUUGAGGUUUCCGACGGCUUUCUUGGUUUAUAUAGUUUAUGUUCAGCACGGCUUUUUCUUGCUGAGAGGCUGCUGUGUAGGCAUUGUUCUGCUCAUGUUUUUGACAGCUUCUGCGGCUUUAUUUGAGAUUGAUCGAUGUAUUAUUCCUAUUGAGCAGAAACAUUUGUCUGUCUUUUUGAUUUUCAGGGUGAUCCACCUAUAUAUGGCGCCCUUUAUAUUGUUAAUGUAAUUACAUAAUUGUAAUGUUUUUUUAGAAUAACUUUGUUGUAAUAUUUGAAUAUUUAAUAUAUUGAAGAAUG
RNAcentral lists this long non-coding RNA (721 nucleotides) under Medicago truncatula (barrel medic). Its description in RNAcentral is "long non-coding RNA (MTRU_LNC002623)". Lineage: Eukaryota; Viridiplantae; Streptophyta; Magnoliopsida; Fabales; Fabaceae. The record is from RNAcentral.